GCGGGAGUGUCGUAAUGGUAGCCGAUCAUGGUUCAGGGCCAUGUGCCCGAAAGGGCGUGGGGGUUCGAGUCCCCCCUCCCGCA
This 83-nucleotide transfer RNA is filed under the name Chloroflexota bacterium. Its description in RNAcentral is "Chloroflexi bacterium tRNA-Leu". It matches the Rfam family "tRNA". Rfam says of the family: Transfer RNA (tRNA) molecules are approximately 80 nucleotides in length. Their secondary structure includes four short double-helical elements and three loops (D, anti-codon, and T loops). Lineage: Bacteria; Bacillati; Chloroflexota. The record is from RNAcentral.